Molecule: long non-coding RNA, 2164 nt
Filed under: Homo sapiens (human)
Lineage: Eukaryota; Metazoa; Chordata; Mammalia; Primates; Hominidae
Description: HSALNT0336632
Source: RNAcentral
CUCCCUCUGUCUCCCUCUCCCCACGGUCUCCCUCUCAUGCGGAGCCGAAGCUGGACUGUACUGCUGCCAUCUCGGCUCACUGCAACCUCCCUGCCUGAUUCUCCUGCCUCAGCCUGCCCAGUGCCUGCAAUGGCGCCGCCACGCCUGACUGGUUUUGGUGGAGACGGGGUUUCGCUGUGUUGGCCGGGCCGGUCUCCAGCCCCUAACCGCGAGUGAUCCCGCCAACCUCAGCCUCCCGAGGUGCCGGGAUUGCAGACGGAGUCUCGUUCACUCAGUGCUCAAUGGUGCCCAGGCUGGAGUGCAGUGGCGUGAUCUCGGCUCACUACAACCUACACCUCCCAGCCGCCUGCCUUGGCCUCCCAAAGUGCCGAGAUUGCAGCCUCUGCCCGGCCGCCACCCCGUCUGGGAAGUGAGGAGCCUCUCUGCCUGGCCGCCCAUCGUCUGGGAUGUGAGGAGCCCCUCUGCCUGGCUGCCCAGUCUGGAAAGUGAGGAGCGUCUCCGCCCGGCCGCCAUCCCAUCUAGGAAGUGAGGAGCGCCUCUUCCCAGCCGCCAUCACAUCUAGGAAGUGAGGAGCGUCUCUGCCCGGCCGCCCAUCGUCUGAGAUGUGGGGAGCGCCUCUGCCCCGCCGCCCCAUCUGGGAUGUGAGGAGUGCCUCUGCCCGGCUGAGACCCCGUCUGGGAGGUGAGGAGCGUCUCUGCCCGGCCGCCCCGUCUGAGAAGUGAGGAGACCCUCUGCCUGGCAACCACCCCGUCUGAGAAGUGAGGAGCCCCUCCGCCCGGCAGCUGCCCCGUCUGAGAAGUGAGGAGCCUCUCCGCCCGGCAGCCACCCCAUCUGGGAAGUGAGGAGCAUCUCCGCCCAGCAGCCACCCCGUCCGGGAGGGAGGUGGGAGGGGGUCAACCCCCCGCCCGGCCAGCCGCCCCAUCUGGGAGGGAGGUGGGGGGUCAGCCCCCCCGACCGGCCAGCCGUGCCAUCCGGGAGGGAGGUGGGGGGGUCAGCCCCCCGCCCGGCCAGCCGCCCCGUCCGGGAGGUGAGGGGUGCCUCUGCCCGGCCGCCCCUACUGGGAAGUGAGGAGCCCCUCAGCCCGGCCAGCCACCCCGUCCGGGAGGGAGAUGGGGGGGUCAGCCCCCCCACCCGGCCAGCCGCCCCGUCCGGGAGGGAGGUGGGGGGGUAAGCCCCCCGCCUGGCCAGCCGCCCCGUCAGGAAGGGAGGUGGGGGGGUCAGCCCUCCGCCCGGCCAGCCGCCCCGUCCGGGAGGUGAGGGGCGCCUCUGCCCGGCCGCCCCUACUGGGAAGUGAGGAGCCCCUCUGCCCGGCCAGCCGCCCCGUCCGGGAGGGAGGUGGGGGGGGUCAGCCCCCCGCCCGGCCGGCCGCCCUGUCCGGGAGGGAGGUGGGGGGGGUCAGCCCCCCGCCUGGCCAGCCGCCCUGUCCGGGAGGGAGGUGGGGGGGGGUCAGCCCUCCGCCCGGCCAGCCGCCCCGUCUGGGAGGUGAGGGGCGCCGCUGCCCGGCCGCCCCUACUGGGAAGUGAGGAGCCCCUCUGCCCGGCCAGCCGCCCCGUCCGGGAGGGAGGUGGGGGGGGUCAGCCCCCCGCCCGGCCGGCCGCCCUGUCCGGGAGGGAGGUGGGGGGGUCAGCCCUCCGCCCGGCCAGCCGCCCCGUCCGGGAGGUGAGGGGCGCCUCUGCCCGGCCGCCCCUACUGGGAAGUGAGGAGCCCCUCUGCCCGGCCAGCCGCCCCGUCCCGGAGGGAGGUGGGGGGGGUCAGCCCCCCUGCCCGGCCAGCCGCCCCGUCCGGGAGGUGAGGGGCGCCUCUGCCCAGCCGCCCCUACUGGGAAGUGAGGAGCCCCUCUGCCCGGCCAGCCGCCCCGUCCGGGAGGGAGGUGGGGGGGGUCAGCCCCCCCGCCCGGCCAGCCGCCCCGUCCGGGAGGUGAGGGGCGCCUCUGCCCGGCCGCCCCUACUGGGAAGUGAGGAGCCCCUCUGCCCGGCCACCACCCCGUCUGGGAGGUGUGCCCAACAGCUCAUUGAGAACGGGCCAGGAUGACAAUGGCGGCUUUGUGGAAUAGAAAGGCAGGAAAGGUGGGGAAAAGAUUGAGAAAUCGGAUGGUUGCCGUGUCUGUGUAGAAAGAAGUAGACAUGGGAGACUUUUCAUUUUGUUCUGCACUAAGAAAAAUUCC